Molecule: non-coding RNA, 490 nt
Organism: Salvelinus sp. IW2-2015
Lineage: Eukaryota; Metazoa; Chordata; Actinopteri; Salmoniformes; Salmonidae
Source: RefSeq, a predicted model, not a curated record
CGUUGCCUGGUGCAGGAACCCAUGGCUUACAACUUACAAACGGUUCAAAGCCUACCUUCCUCUGAAGGAGGAGUCUGUGGUUGGCUCCACCUCCCAGAGCGCUGAGAGCAGUCCUGGUUGGAGCUCUGGGUCUCUACUGUUCUGGAACCUUCUGAGUUGAUGGGGCCUUAUAGAGAACAGCCCACUUCUCGAUGACAGGCUGGUGYGAAUGGAAAACAACCCAUUCAACUGCCAAAUACACAACAGCAUAGAAACAUCUUAUUUUCAUCUGUCRUCUGAAAUGUUUWGCUUUUUCUUUUAUCGUUUUUUUAAUAUAUUUAUUUUUAACUGAAAGUUCAUUAAUGGAUAUAAUUUGGCUUAUUUCCAUCAAACUUAAAUGUGCAUCCUCAAAUGUUUAUACUGGAAGUUUUAUCAGUGAAUAGUAUUGUAAACUACUGUGAAGUCARACAUUUUUAUGUCUUUUCCCCAUUAAAAUCCCCCCAAAACUGUA